RNAcentral lists this ribosomal RNA (405 nucleotides) under uncultured bacterium. Its description in RNAcentral is "bacterial SSU rRNA". It matches the Rfam family "Bacterial small subunit ribosomal RNA", at positions 355 to 776 of the family's 1533-position model. RNAcentral also lists the same sequence under 1 other name. The record is from RNAcentral.
CAGGGAAUCUUGCGCAAUGGGCGAAAGCCUGACGCAGCAACGCCGCGUGGGGGAUGAAGGCCUUCGGGUUGUAAACCCCUUUCAGGAGGGAAGAAAUUGACGGUACCUCCAGAAGAAGCACCGGCCAACUACGUGCCAGCAGCCGCGGUAAUACGUAGGGUGCGAGCGUUAUCCGGAAUCAUUGGGCGUAAAGAGCUCGUAGGCGGUUCAGCAAGUCGGCUGUGAAAGUCCGAGGCUCAACCUCGGAAUUGCAGUCGAUACUGCUGUGACUCGAGUCCGGUAGAGGAGAAUGGAAUUCUCGGUGUAGCGGUGAAAUGCGCAGAUAUCGAGAGGAACACCAGUAGCGAAGGCGGUUCUCUGGGCCGGCACUGACGCUGAGGAGCGAAAGCGUGGGGAGCAAACAGG